This 326-nucleotide ribosomal RNA is filed under the name uncultured eukaryote. RNAcentral describes it as "partial 18S ribosomal RNA". It matches the Rfam family "Eukaryotic small subunit ribosomal RNA", at positions 1470 to 1796 of the family's 1831-position model. The record is from RNAcentral.
CCCUUAGAUGUUCUGGGCUGCACGCGCGCUACACUGAUGCACUCAACGAGUUUACGACCUUGCCCGAUAGGGUUGGGUAAUCUUUUUAAAAUGCGUCGUGAUGGGGAUAGAUUAUUGCAAUUAUUAAUCUUCAACGAGGAAUUCCUAGUAAGCGCGAGUCAUCAGCUCGUGCUGAUUACGUCCCUGCCCUUUGUACACACCGCCCGUCGCUCCUACCGAUUGAGUGCUCAGGUGAAUAAUUCGGACUGCGGCAAUGUUUGGAUCCCGAACGUUGCAGCGGAAAGUUUAGUGAACCUUAUCACUUAGAGGAAGGAGAAGUCGUAACA